UUUUGGGUUUGGGUGUUUUGGUUUUGGUUGAUUUGGUUUUGGGUGUCGGUUGAUUUGGGUUUUGGUAAUGGUGGUGGUUAGCAUAACAAAAAGAAAAAUAAAUCAAAACAAAACAGUAGACAAAGACUCAACUCAUCAGUCGCACAUGAAUCCACAUAAAUAAACCCAUCACACUCAACUCCGAAUACCCUCCCCCAAACCCAUCGGCC
This 209-nucleotide long non-coding RNA is filed under the name Actinidia chinensis (golden kiwifruit). Its description in RNAcentral is "long non-coding RNA (ACHI_LNC003616)". The record is from RNAcentral. Lineage: Eukaryota; Viridiplantae; Streptophyta; Magnoliopsida; Ericales; Actinidiaceae.